Molecule: transfer-messenger RNA, 369 nt
Filed under: Bacilli
Lineage: Bacteria; Bacillati; Bacillota
Also listed under: 1 other name
Description: RUG12834 sp902783185 Standard tmRNA
Rfam family: transfer-messenger RNA
About the family: Bacterial tmRNA, also known as 10Sa RNA or SsrA, is named for its dual tRNA and mRNA-like properties. Its role is to liberate the mRNA from a stalled ribosome.
Source: RNAcentral
GGGGUAGCUUUGGUUUCGACAGGCUAUUUCUAUGGUGGAUGACUGCAAGUAGUCAGUGAUGACUUUAAAUAUUCUAAAUUAAAAUUAAAUGACAAAAAUGAAAGCUCUAUCGGAGCAUUCACUCCUGUAUUUGCCUAAUUAAAGGUUGGGAGACUCUUACUUAAUUUUUCCUAUAGGUUAAGAUAAGAGUUCAUAUAUAUAGGAUAUAUAUUAUAAUUGAUUAGGUUAUAAUAUGAAUCUUACUAAUCUUAGUUAAAUAAUAGGUGUGUAGUAGCCGGUUAUUUAAUGAAGUUAUAAUUACUACUAAACUUGUAGAUGUUGUCUUAUCAUAUAGUUUGGACAUGGGUUCAAUUCCCAUCUACUCCACCA